GACGAACGCUGGCGGCGUGCUUAACACAUGCAAGUCGAACGGAAAGGCCCUGCUUUUGUGGGGUGCUCGAGUGGCGAACGGGUGAGUAACACGUGAGUAACCUGCCCUUGACUUUGGGAUAACUUCAGGAAACUGGGGCUAAUACCGGAUAGGAGCUCCUGCUGCAUGGUGGGGGUUGGAAAGUUUCGGCGGUUGGGGCUGGACUCGCGGCUUAUGAGCUUGUUGGUGGGGUAGUGGCUUACCAAGGCUUUGACGGGUAGCCGGCCUGAGAGGGUGACCGGCCACAUUGGGACUGAGAUACGGCCCAGACUCCUACGGGAGGCAGCAGUGGGGAAUAUUGCACAAUGGGCGGAAGCCUGAUGCAGCAACGCCGCGUGCGGGAUGACGGCCUUCGGGUUGUAAACCGCUUUCGCCUGUGACGAAGCGUGAGUGACGGUAAUGGGUAAAGAAGCACCGGCUAACUACGUG
This 468-nucleotide ribosomal RNA is filed under the name uncultured bacterium. Its description in RNAcentral is "partial 16S ribosomal RNA". It matches the Rfam family "Bacterial small subunit ribosomal RNA", at positions 28 to 507 of the family's 1533-position model. The record is from RNAcentral.